AGGACUAAGACUUUUGACAUGCUCACUCCAGUAGAAGAACAACAUGAAAAACACAGUAGAACAUGUUGAAAAAUCAGAAAAGCUUUGAAUGACUCAACAGAACCCUAAAUCGGAAAGGGUAAAAGGGGUUGUGGAGGCAGAGCUUUGAAAGAAAUAUCGAGAAAACGUAUAAAUGUUAGGAAAAACACAGAUCUAAAACGAAUCUAAGAGAAUCAGAAGAACCUUGAAGGUUAGGGUUUCAGAAGAACCUCAGAUGGUGAGAAAUGCUUGGAAAUCAUCGACUAAGCAGGAAAAGUCAAGAUCAGGCUUGAAUAGCCAUGGCUGGCCGGAGCAAGGUCAAAGAUGACUAGAGACAGCCAUAAGAUCUGAGGUCGACGAAGGUCUGGGCCAAGCUUCUUCAAGGUCUGGUAUUGAAACCAUAAUAAUCGAGCAUGUAGGAGUCAUAGGAGGCAGGUACACGACUUUAAUGGAUUUGGAAGCCAUGGAUUCAUGUGAUUUUAGUAUAGAAGCGGAGGGAGGCGGCUAGGGUUUAAGAAGAGCUCGAGAGAGAAUUGGUAGAAGGGGGAAUUCAAGGGUGGCUG
RNAcentral lists this long non-coding RNA (581 nucleotides) under Nicotiana benthamiana. Its description in RNAcentral is "long non-coding RNA (NBEN_LNC040221)". Lineage: Eukaryota; Viridiplantae; Streptophyta; Magnoliopsida; Solanales; Solanaceae. The record is from RNAcentral.